GAAAGGUGCUAGAGAAUGGCCAUAUGUCGCUGUCCAUGAAAUCUCAAGGACUUCUGGGUGGAGGGCACAGGAGCCUGAACUUACGGGUUUGCCCCAGUCCACUGUCCUCCCAAAUCACAUCUCCAUGAUCCAUAGGCCCUGCCCAAUCUGACCUCACACCGUGGGAAUGCCUCCAGACUGAUCUAGAAUAGCCAGGUCUGGCUGGGUCGGCACAACCUGUUUGAGCCUGAAGACACAGGCCAGAGGGUCCCUGUCAGCCACAGCUUCCCACACCCGCUCUACAAUAUGAGCCUUCUGAAGCAUCGAAGCCUUAGACCAGAUGAAGACUCCAGCCAUGACCUCAUGCUGCUCCGCCUGUCAGAGCCUGCCAAGAUCACAGAUGCUGUGAAGGUCCUGGGCCUGCCCACCCAGGAGCCAGCACUGGGGACCACCUGCUACGCCUCAGGCUGGGGCAGCAUCGAACCAGAGGAGUGAGUCUUCAGUGCGUGAGCCUCCAUCUCCUGUCCAAUGACAUGUGUGCUAGAGCUUAC
Molecule: small RNA, 530 nt
Filed under: Pan troglodytes (chimpanzee)
Lineage: Eukaryota; Metazoa; Chordata; Mammalia; Primates; Hominidae
Description: processed transcript
Source: RNAcentral